AUGUUGCGCAAGGGACUUAAACCUACAACUUUUAAUUACAACGUCAUACUGGAUGGAUUAUUUCUGGCUGGACGAACUGUUGCUGCAAAGGAAAAGUUUGAUGAGAUGGUUGAAUCUGGAGUAAGUGUGUGCAUUGAUACAUAUUCGAUAGUUCUUGGUGGACUUUGUAGAAAUAAUUGUAGCGGCGAAGCAAUCACGCUAUUCCAGAAAUUAAGCACAAUGGAUGUGAAAUUCAAUAUUAUAAUUGUCAAUAUAAUGAUUGAUGCCUUCUACAGGGUUCAGCGAAACCAAGAAGCCAAGGAUUUGUUUGCUGCAGUAUCAGCCAAUGGUUUGGUAGCUAAUGUCUUUACCUACACCAUAAUGAUGAAAAAUCUUAUAAAAGAAGGGUCAGUGGAAGAAGCUGACGAUCUCUUUUUAUCAAUGGAGAAGAGCGGCUGUACUGCUGACUCUUAUAUGUUAAAUCUUAUUGUCAGAAUGUUACUGGAAAAAGGAGAGCUAGUCAAGGCUGGGAAUUAUAUGUCUAAAGUUGAUGCAAAGAGCUACUCACUUGAAGCUGAAACCGUUUCGCUGCUUAUCUCUCUCUUUUCAGGGAAAGGGAAAUAUAGAGAACACAUAGGAUUGCUCCCUACAAAGUAUCGGUUUCGUGAAGAAGCAGCCACAGUU
Molecule: ribosomal RNA, 663 nt
Filed under: Triticum aestivum (bread wheat)
Lineage: Eukaryota; Viridiplantae; Streptophyta; Magnoliopsida; Poales; Poaceae
Description: partial small subunit ribosomal RNA
Source: RNAcentral